UCCGAAGGGGGCUAGCGUUGUCCGAAGUUACUGGGCGUAAAUCGCUCGUCUUCUUUCUCUCCCUUCCUCUUUUCCCUCCCUCUUCCUCCACUCGGAGGGUCGGUAGAUACUGUUUUUCUUGAAGAGGCUAGGGGGAGAUGGAAUUACCGGUGUAGCGGUGAAAUGCGUAGAGAUCGGUAGGAACACCAGUGGC
Molecule: ribosomal RNA, 193 nt
Filed under: uncultured prokaryote
Description: partial 16S ribosomal RNA
Rfam family: Bacterial small subunit ribosomal RNA
Source: RNAcentral